CCUACGGGUGGCAGCAGUCGAGAAUCAUUCACAAUGGGGGAAACCCUGAUGGUGCGACGCCGCGUGGGGGAAUGAAGGUCUUCGGAUUGUAAACCCCUGUCAUGUGGGAGCAAAUUAAAAAGAUAGUACCACAAGAGGAAGAGACGGCUAACUCGGUGCCAGCAGCCGCGGUAAUACAGAGGUCUCAAGCGUUGUUCGGAAUUACUGGGAGUAAAGGGUGCGUAGGCUGUUUCGUAAGUCGUGUGUGAAAGGCGCGGGCUCAACCCGCGGACGGCACAUGAUACUGCGAGACUAGAGUAAUGGAGGGGGAACUGGAAUUCUCGGUGUAGCAGUGAAAUGCGUAGAUAUCGAGAGGAACACUCGUGGCGAAGGCGGGUUCCUGGACAUUAACUGACGCUGAGGCACGAAGGCCAGGGGAGCGAAAGGGAUUAGAUACCCGUGUAGUC
RNAcentral lists this ribosomal RNA (446 nucleotides) under uncultured bacterium. RNAcentral's name for it is "partial 16S ribosomal RNA". It matches the Rfam family "Bacterial small subunit ribosomal RNA", at positions 338 to 795 of the family's 1533-position model. The record is from RNAcentral.